UCCGAGUUGACCCCGGCAGUCUCCUAUGAGUCCCCGCCAUAACGCGCUGGCAACAUAGAACGAGGGUUGCGCUCGUUGCGGGACUUAACCCAACAUCUCACGACACGAGCUGACGACGGCCAUGCAGCACCUGUGUUCAAGUUCUCUUUCGAGCACUUCCACAUCUCUGCAGAAUUCUUGACAUGUCAAGGGUAGGUAAGGUUUUUCGCGUUGCAUCGAAUUAAUCCACAUAAUCCACCGCUUGUGCGGGUCCCCGUCAAUUCCUUUGAGUUUUAACCUUGCGGCCGUACUCCCCAGGCGGUCAACUUCACGCGUUAGCUUCGUUACCAAGGAAUUACUUCCCCGACAACCAGUUGACAUCGUUUAGGGCGUGGACUAC
RNAcentral lists this unclassified non-coding RNA (379 nucleotides) under uncultured Gammaproteobacteria bacterium. RNAcentral's name for it is "contains 16S-23S intergenic spacer region". The record is from RNAcentral. Lineage: Bacteria; Pseudomonadati; Pseudomonadota; Gammaproteobacteria.